CAUCAGAUAAGCGUGCUGCUCCAAUUGUCAGUGAAGUUCUUCUCCAAAUGUCUGAAUUUAAAUUCCCAUCAGUAACUUUCAGUCUAGAUCGAUGGAGCACUGGAGCGACAGUAAUAUGUCUGUUUUAGAGACUUUGCAGUUCAAAAUUGAUGUUACAUUAAAUCGGAUACGGGAUACCAGCUCACCUAUGUGUACCAAAAAAAUUUGGUUUUCUUUCAAAUCCAUAUUGUUCUAUGGAGGUGUAUAAUGGUCCUCAGCCUAUUCUGACAACAUGUGAGAAAUUUAAAUGCACUGCUUGGACAAACGAUGCCAAGAAGCUGCCAAGAGGUUAAUGACUGCUCUGUUGAGCAAAUCACCAGAGAGAAUUAUACUUGAUGGAGACUAUACAUCAACGGAUCUUAGAACAACAUAGAUACUUAUCGAUGUGGUUAUCUCGGAUAGGAAUGAAAAUGGGGAUAUGCCAACUAAGAACAAGCAAGUAGAACUGUCAAUGGCAACUUGGCUCCACGGCUUAACAUCAUUUGGCGAAGCAAGUGUUCGGAUUCAUUUUGAUGGAAUGAUUCUGGCGACUUGAGUUAACAGCUCACUAUCAUCUACUGAAAGCAGAAGUUCACGUGUUGAUUUUGCCGGAGUGACUGCAGUUUCAUUGGCAGCUCUGGCUUUUGUUUCAUUGACUCUCUAGAUGCCUGUUCUUGGAGUUUAGGAAAGUGUUGUGUGUUUUCGACAAUAUUGUCCACAGUGUUGGCAGGUACCAGAAUCCUGAGACAAAUUAAAGAAUAAGUAACGGUCCAGUAUGCCUUUUUCACAUGUUA
Molecule: long non-coding RNA, 812 nt
Organism: Panicum virgatum (switchgrass)
Lineage: Eukaryota; Viridiplantae; Streptophyta; Magnoliopsida; Poales; Poaceae
Exons: 2
Source: RefSeq, a predicted model, not a curated record